This 490-nucleotide ribosomal RNA is filed under the name uncultured bacterium. RNAcentral describes it as "partial 16S ribosomal RNA". It matches the Rfam family "Bacterial small subunit ribosomal RNA", at positions 30 to 507 of the family's 1533-position model. The record is from RNAcentral.
AUUGAACGCUGGCGGCAGGCCUAACACAUGCAAGUCGAAUGGUAACAGGAAACAGCUUGCUGUUUCGCUGACGAGUGGCGGCCGGGUGAGUAAUGUCUGGGAAACUGCCUGAUGGAGGGGGAUAACUACUGGAAACGGUAGCUAAUACCGCAUAACGUCGCAAGACCAAGGAGGGGGACCUUCGGGCCUCUUGCCAUCAGAUGUGCCCAGAUGGGAUUAGCUAGUAGGUGGGGUAACGGCUCACCUAGGCGACGAUCCCUAGCUGGUCUGAGAGGAUGACCAGCCACACUGGAACUGAGACACGGUCCGGACUCCUACGGGAGGCAGCAGUGGGGAAUAUUGCACAAUGGGCGCAAGCCUGAUGCAGCCAUGCCGCGUGUAUGAAGAAGGCCUUCGGGUUGUAAAGUACUUUCAGCGGGGAGGAAGGGAGUAAAGUUAAUACCUUUGCUCAUUGACGUUACCCGCAGAAGAAGCACCGGCUAACUCCGUG